GACUAACUAAUAUGACUAAUGACUUUUUAACUUUUAUGAAACCAGAAAACGUGCAGUAUAGAAACUAGGAUGAGUAGAAAGGGUGAAGGACUGGUUUCAUUUCAACAAGAAACAAAUAUGUAUACUGCAUUGAAUAGCUCUGGCUGACUCCUGAAUCCCACAUAUGCUCUAGAAACCAGAUCUGAUUAAAGCUGUGUCUUCUGAUCUAUUGUGAACCUGCAUCUUUGGGGAAGACUGUUUGUUGAAAGACAAAUUACUGUGGUGUUUUGAAGGAGGGUUCUGUGGAGAAGAACAAGAGCAAGGUGAAGCCAGGAGCCAAGCCCCACACAGCUGCUCACUCACUCCCCCAGCAGAACUGGGGACAGAACUGGAAGGACAAAAGCUGGAAAACUCGUGAGUUGAGACAGGCAGGUGUUCAGCCAUCUCCAGGACAGCAGGGUCCCAUCCCAUGUAAUGGUGACUUGGGAAGACAAACUCCAUCCCUCCAAAUGUGUUCCCACUUCCUCCUCCUUCCCUCCACUCUGUAUGCUGAGCAUGAUGCCAUAUGCUCUGGAAUAUCCCUUUGGUCAAUAUGGGUCACCUGUCCCAGCUCUGUCUCCUCCCAGCCUCCCAAGCGACCCCAACUUCCUUGCCAGUAUGUAAAUUGGAGAAGCAGAAAAGGCCUUGGCUCUGUAUAAACCCUGCUGUGCUAUAACAAAAACAUCUCUUUAUUAUCAAUCCUGUGCUCAGCACAAAUCCAAAACACAGCCCCAUACCAGCCACUGUGAAGAAAGUUUACUGUACCCCAACCAAAAACAACAUACCAUUUGAAUCUUAUUUUGACUGUGAGAAUUAUUCCUUUGUCUCUGUGUUAUCUUUCUUGGCCCUUUUCUGCUUUGACAGAUAAGUUGUGAAAUCUUAGUCUCUGAAAGGGACCUACAGUAAGCCUGAUUCUUGUGGGAGGUAUUCAGAGCAGACAUAUAGCUUAACAUGAGAAAAAUUUUUCUUCAAAAAUUACAUGUUGAGAUAGGAAUGGUGCACAUUCUCAGCCCAUCAAAACAAGUUUUGAAAAACAUUCCUGUGCUGAAUUACAAUGAAAUGUUGUAAUUUUUUAAUAAAAAAGAAUAUCACUCUUAUACAGGAUAAUAUUUUUGUUCAGAGAAGCAUACAGAUUUUAUUAAAAAUUAAAAUUAGAGCUUUCUUGUUUGAAAGUGUCAGGUAAAGUCUUGACAAGCACUUUGAGAGUGAGUGUACUCCAAAAGAUGAUUAAUUAAAUUUGAACUUCAAAGAACCUACAAACUUAAAACCGUGUUUUUGAAUGAAAACCACAUUUUCAUGAAAAUUUUCCAGACCAGUUAUGUUCCAUACAGUAUUCAACUCUCUGUUUACUUAUGCAGUAUAGAGAAAUGUGGUAGUCUAAUUUUAUGAUAAUGCCUGUUGAAGAAUAGUAAGAAAGAAAAUUUGAGAGAAAAAGUGAAAAAGAAAGUGAGGGGGUAGUAGUAUAGUGAUAUUGAUCAUGCUUGUCCUGGGAGGAGCUCCCAGGUAGCACUUUAUUUGCUAUAACCAUGAAAAAUAUUUUACUUCUACAUUAUUCAUCAUACAUUUUUAAGACCUCCAUUAUGUAGAGUAUCUGUCAGCUAUGGUGAAAUAUAUUACCAGUAUCUUCAUAACUUACUUUUCACUUAUAUGUGCACAAUCUUUGAUCUAGAAGAACUACAUUAUUGCAAGAGAAUAUUCUAACUAUAUAUUUCAAUUUUCCCACAUUUAUAAAACAAUCUAAAAUAUAAAUACAGAAUAUGUAAUCUAUAUGUGACUCCAAUACUUUCCAGAAAGUAUUGGACUUGGAAAAAUAACAGCUUGUCAGAUCUCAGGUACAUUUCAUUAGCAGUAUUUGAAAGUUUCAAUUACUACUCAGUGUUUUUCAUGUCCGUCAGACCUGCAAUAAUUUCUAUAUAUCUCAUUGCAAUUGCUGCUCUGUCAUUUUUGAUAAUGGGCUUUGAACUUUCAGACAUAAUCAAUCAGAGAAUUAUUUCAAACCACUGCAUUAUCUGCUUUAUUGAAAGGAGUCAGAUGUGGAUCUGAAUGCCAUCCACUGGGUUAAAGGAUAAUGUUUUGAAUUAGCCUCCGUCAUUAGCCACAGUUACAAUGGAGAAUUUUCAGUAUCAAAACUGAAACCUAAAAAACUACAGGAGUCAAAAUACCAUGAAUGGGAUAACUAUUUUCAUAUGUUGUUUUACACACAACCAUUACACACCUAUCACUUUUUUUUUUUUUCAUUCAUAUAUGUUUUUAUAUCUUCUAGUGGUUUUUAGUACUAUGCAGAUUGUGAUACUGGCCAGGCAAAAUUAAAUUCCCCAGCUGACAAUGACACUGCAGCCAUUUCUUAUUCUAUAUAGCAAGAUGUUACCUGACUACUGAAUGUGCUUUUCUUUGUUCUGUGGAUGUAUUUCUGUCUACUUCUUUUACAGCUCUGUACUUCUGUAUGCUUUUACUUUGUAUGUUCUCUGUAGACAUAAAUCCCUUUCUAUGCUUUUCUCAUAUAUUUGUUAUGUCAGCACAUGCUUAUUUCUUAAGGUGAUAUCUUUGUGAUAAAAUAAAAUCUUUCCUCUCUCCCAUCUGUGAACACUUGCCAAAAUGCAGAGUGAAUUGCUUCCUGCUGUUUUAAAGACAAGGUAUUACUUGA
This is a long non-coding RNA of Passer domesticus (house sparrow), 2662 nucleotides long. RefSeq lists it as uncharacterized. Lineage: Eukaryota; Metazoa; Chordata; Aves; Passeriformes; Passeridae. The transcript is spliced from 3 exons. The record is from RefSeq and is a predicted model, not a curated record.